GAUCACGUGGAGAGAUUUGUGUCUGCUUGCAACCACGCUAAAACAAUGCUAAAAGGCACUCU
This is a non-coding RNA of Porphyromonas sp. HMSC065F10, 62 nucleotides long. The record is from Rfam. Lineage: Bacteria; Pseudomonadati; Bacteroidota; Bacteroidia; Bacteroidales; Porphyromonadaceae.